RNAcentral lists this small nuclear RNA (23 nucleotides) under Arabidopsis thaliana (thale cress). Its description in RNAcentral is "snRNA_01602". The record is from RNAcentral. Lineage: Eukaryota; Viridiplantae; Streptophyta; Magnoliopsida; Brassicales; Brassicaceae.
AACGAAUCCUUAGUAGAAAACGA